AGAGUUUGAUCAUGGCUCAGAGUGAACGCUGGCGGCAUGCCUAACACAUGCAAGUCGAACGGUAACGGGCCCGCAAGGGUGCCGACGAGUGGCGGACGGGUGAGGAAUACAUCGGAAUUUGCCCAUGUCGUGGGGGAUAACGUAGGGAAACUUACGCUAAUACCGCAUACGACCUAACGGUGAAAGCGGGGGAUCGCAAGACCUCGCGCGAUUGGAUGAGCCGAUGUCGGAUUAGCUAGUUGGUGGGGUAAAGGCCUACCAAGGCGACGAUCCGUAGCUGGUCUGAGAGGAUGAUCAGCCACACUGGGACUGAGACACGGCCCAGGCUCCUACGGGAGGCAGCAGUGGGGAAUAUUGGACAAUGGGGGCAACCCUGAUCCAGCAAUGCCGCGUGUGUGAAGAAGGCCUUCGGGUUGUAAAGCACUUUUGUCCGGAACGAAACGUGACGGGUUAAUGGCCCGGCAAACUGACGGUACCGGAAGAAUCAGCACCGGCUAACUUCGUGCCAGCCGCCGCGGUAAUAC
RNAcentral lists this ribosomal RNA (524 nucleotides) under uncultured bacterium. RNAcentral's name for it is "bacterial SSU rRNA". It matches the Rfam family "Bacterial small subunit ribosomal RNA", at positions 8 to 526 of the family's 1533-position model. The record is from RNAcentral.